UGGUCUGAUUCAGUUGGUUAGAACAUGGUGCUGAUAACACCAAGCUUGCAGGUUUGAUCCCCAACGGAACAA
Podarcis lilfordi (Lilford's wall lizard) is the source of this 72-nucleotide non-coding RNA. NCBI's taxonomy places the organism in Eukaryota, Metazoa, Chordata, Lepidosauria, Squamata, Lacertidae. The record is from the annotation of a GenBank genome assembly.